Molecule: ribosomal RNA, 442 nt
Filed under: uncultured bacterium
Lineage: Bacteria
Description: bacterial SSU rRNA
Rfam family: Bacterial small subunit ribosomal RNA
Source: RNAcentral
UCGAGAAUCUUCGGCAAUGGGCGCAAGCCUGACCGAGCGACGCCGCGUGCGGGAUGAAGGCCUUCGGGUUGUAAACCGCUGUCGUAGGGGAGGAAGGUUGCGUGAAGAACGUAACUUGACCGAUCCUAGGAGGAAGGGCCGGCUAAUCUCGUGCCAGCAGCCGCGGUAAUACGAGAGGCCCAAACGUUAUUCGGAAUUACUGGGCUUAAAGAGUCCGUAGGCGGCGCAGAAAGUAGGGUGUGAAAGCCCUCGGCUCAACCGAGGAAUUGCGCUCUAAACUACUGUGCUCGAGGAACCUAGAGGUGAGCAGAACUGAUGGUGGAGCGGUGAAAUGCGUUGAUAUCAUCAGGAAUACCGGAGGCGAAGGCGGCUCACUGGGGGUUUUCUGACGCUGAGGGACGAAAGCCAGGGGAGCGAACGGGAUUAGAUACCCGCGUAGUCC